GGGCGUAUCGUUCAACGGUUCAGGACGCUCGUCUCCAGAACGAGUCAUCGGGGUUCGAAUCCUCGUACGCCCGCCA
Molecule: transfer RNA, 76 nt
Filed under: Acidobacteriota bacterium
Lineage: Bacteria; Pseudomonadati; Acidobacteriota
Also listed under: 2 other names
Description: Acidobacteria bacterium tRNA-Trp
Rfam family: tRNA
About the family: Transfer RNA (tRNA) molecules are approximately 80 nucleotides in length. Their secondary structure includes four short double-helical elements and three loops (D, anti-codon, and T loops).
Source: RNAcentral